UAGGGAAUAUUGGUCAAUGGAUGGAAGUCUGAACCAGCCAUGCCGCGUGCAGGAAGAAGGCCUUCUGGGUUGUAAACUGCUUUUGCCAGGGGAUAAAACGUCUCUGCGGAGAUAAUUGAAGGUACCUGGUGAAUAAGCCACGGCUAACUACGUGCCAGCAGCCGCGGUAAUACGUAGGUGGCAAGCGUUGUCCGGAUUUAUUGGGUUUAAAGGGUGCGUAGGCGGUCUAUUAAGUCAGUGCUGAAAUACUCCAGCUUAACUGGAGGGGUGGCAUUGAUACUGAUGGACUUGAGUACAGAUGAGGUAGGCGGAAUUGACGGUGUAGCGGUGAAAUGCAUAGAUAUCGUCAAGAACACCGAUAGCGAAGGCAGCUUACUGGGCUGUAACUGACGCUGAUGCA
RNAcentral lists this ribosomal RNA (400 nucleotides) under uncultured bacterium. RNAcentral's name for it is "bacterial SSU rRNA". It matches the Rfam family "Bacterial small subunit ribosomal RNA", at positions 355 to 753 of the family's 1533-position model. The record is from RNAcentral.